AAUAUGUGCACCAAUGCCACGUCAGCGGGCACCAGUGUUGUCCAGUCUCCCAACUUCCCCGGCGACUACGGGAAUGACAGGGAAUGUCAUGUCAACAUUGUCGUGCCAGCAUGAAAGCGAAUCCGGUUGACAUUCACCACCUUCAAUUUGGAGACAGGCAAAGGUGAAAUUUCUCUUAGAUACAGAGAGACUGCUUAUUUGUCCCAUGUAAACGGAAACUCAGCUCCUGCGGUAGUCACCACAACAUCCAACAUUGUGAACAUGGAAUUUUAUUCCUAUUUUAGUAUGAAACCCAACGCCACAACAUAUAAAUGUCAGGCAACUUACACUGCUGUGUAACGUUGUAGGUAUCAACCAAUUCAACACUUCGGCUGACUACCCAAAAAAACAACGACCGAUGAAAAAAAUAGCUUUACUUCUAUUUUUAUCGAAGCAAAUCUAUAGUUUCAACAACUGCCACUUUGUUAACUAUUAACACACA
Long non-coding RNA from Daphnia pulicaria, 481 nucleotides. RefSeq lists it as uncharacterized. NCBI's taxonomy places the organism in Eukaryota, Metazoa, Arthropoda, Branchiopoda, Diplostraca, Daphniidae. The record is from RefSeq and is a predicted model, not a curated record. The transcript is spliced from 3 exons.